GUGAGAGAGAGAGACAGAGAGAGGUAUUUCAAGCAGCUGCGGAACGUGGGUCCCACGGAAGGUGACCGUGUGGGUACAUUAGUCCGGAGUCCUUCCAGAAACUCCAUAAAAAGCGUCGUCAUUGAGAAUUAUGGGACUAAUUAUAUAUUAUCAUUUGUAAUUAGUUAAUCUUAAUAUUUUAAUUUUUAUAUUAUUAAAAAUUAUAUUUUUUUUUUUACUCUAAAAUAUAUAAUCAUAUUUUUUUUCUCAUAUUAUCGAUUUUAUUGAUGAAAAUACUACACGUCUUCAGUGAUAAACUCUACAUUAUUUUUAUCGAUAAAAUUAACGAUUCAUAAAUAUAUGGAUCCUAAUAUAAUUUUUAAAAAUAUAAAAAUUAAGAUACUAAAUAUAACUAAUUAUAAGAAUAAUAUAUAAUUAACCUAAAUUUAUUUGUACGAUCGAUGAUAAAACAAAAUAGCAAGAGAUUUAAGCCUCUUGCAUUUGAACAUCUAAAGAGAUUUUAAAAAAAAUGCUACUAACGUUGUUGUCUUUACAAAUGAACUCUUUAAGAGGUGAUUAAUCAGAGGUUUUCAUGAGACAGUAUAAGUUAAUUUUUGUGGAGAAAUAUUAAAUUCAAAAUAAGAUUAGCCUAUGAUAUAAGAUAAAAAAAAAAGGGAGGUCAAUAUCAUCUCUAUGUGUAGGAACUUUAUAACUUGGAUAUCAGAACUUCCAUAUUGGUAAUGCAAUUUCAUGAGACUAAGGAAGUAAUUCUUCUUUCUUCAAAAUCUUAAUUAGAUUUUAAUCAUCCCUCUCAACUUCCAAAUAUACCCCUUUUCUACUUGUAAAAAAAUAGUGAAUUAAUUAUAUAUUACCUCAUGUAAUUAUCUAUUAUUAGCAUCUCAAACCUUAUAUUUUUAAAGUUACGUUGAGAUAUUUAUAUUUAUGGAAGUGAAACAUUUGAUCUAGUUUCUCAUCAUAUAGCUAAUAAAAAUAUCAUAGGGUUUAUCACUAAGCACGUGUCGACUCUGUCUCACUUAAUUUAUCAUCGAUCACAUAUGGUAUUUUCAUCAAUAGAAUCGAUAACAUAAAGAAGAACAUGAUUAAAUAUUUCACUUUCGUAAGUAUAAGUAGAGAUCAUAAUUUAAUUUUUGAAAGUAUAAAAACUAAAAUAUUAAUUAUAGUUAAUUAAAAAAUAUAUAAUUAACUCAAAAAUAAUCCUUUUUAUGGUUAAUGCUUCAGUUUUGCAUCCAGUCCAAGUUUCACUUGUAAUCUCUUAGUAGAAAUCCCAUUACACCCUUGAUGUAAAGCACCUUCGAACCAAUAUUGACUAAUAUGAAAAUGAGAUAGAUAUAUAUAUAUAUAUAUAUAUAUAUAUAUAUAUAUAUUUGUCAUUUCAUAUUUGUUUUGUUGGCUGUACAGAUGCAGUGUCCUUGCCCUAUGGAUUCAUCUGUCGGAGCAACGCAUGCACUUUAAUUUGGCACAUCCUCUUAAACUUAGCAUUUGCCUUUAGAUGGAACUGCAACACCUCGAAGGCAUCAUCUGCUUGGAGGCAGAAGACAUUCCAUGACCAUGUAAAACAACAGCAUUACGACACUGCUAUAUAUCGAAGUAUGAUGCUGAACAAAGGUGGAACGUAUGCGCCAUUGUUCAUGUGUAGAUCGGGUAAAAGUAUAUCUACCCAUCGUUACUGUAUGUUCAAGCCAUUCAGAGAACUGUUCGAUCGAACUGCCUUCCUUGAGAUGAACUAAAGAAUAAGAACGAGAUGUCGAGAAAGGAUUCACCCUCCCUGACGCACGAGCGGUGACGGCGACCUGAGAGGAGGAGAAAAGGAAUCCGAUAUCCUAAACGAAAGUGAUAUAUCAGAAGAUAUUUCUCUGCAAACAUAGCAAGGCAAAUCAAGCAGGGAAUGGCAUAACGACGGGAGGCUCACAUGAGGGACCAACGAGUGCUUCGUAAUGCGGCAACAUCCGUGAACCUGUCGCUCUCCCUAUGGGUCCCUGCAACGGGGUGUGCUACACGGUGGUACCACCGGAGUUGAUGACGAUGACGACCUUGUCGUCACCCUCGCGUCCAUGGCAGGCAAAGGGCGUUCGGGGACGUGACGAAGGGGAGGAGAUGAUAACUCUGUGGCGGGCCGAUGCUGAUGUGGUCGAUACUAUCAAGCCUUUGGGCGGGUUGCGACUGGCGGUCAACGUGUGGUCAUCGUUCUCAACACCUGCGAAGUCUCACCGAAUAUAUGCGUGUACAAAUUCAAAGCACUCUUUUCACCAAACAUGGAUUAUAGUAUUGCGUUUUCUCUCUCUCUCUCUCUCUCUCUCUCACUCUCACUUAUCCUUUGCCGCUUGCUUGUCUCUGAGUACAUAAAGAGAGAGACGGAGGGCAAACAAUGUAACCCAUGAAGGAAAGCUUUCAUUAGCUUCAGUAGACUUAAAGAGUACAGGCUUCUUGUCCAAUAGUAACAAAGCUAAAGAAGGAGAAAGACAAUUUAGAAAGGAAAUAUUGCAGGUUAAGAUUGCGUAUAACACAGUCCUUUAGCUUGAAGCUGGGACAAGCUGCAGUUAUUUGGCUCCUGCUAAACUGGUUUCGCAGUGACAGUAAGGAAAGUGACUACAGCAGCAGCUUUCUCUCCCAGUAUUGGCCAAGUCGAGUUGCAUACCUACCAAGUCUGCCUUGUCUUCAGUAACGCUUGUUGCAGACUGACUUCAGUUCCGGAUCCAAAGAGGCCAUGUCGAUGCCGAGAUGUUGUUCCUCCCUUUGCGUUAGAACUCCUCCCAUCCUCCUCAUCAUGCUGCCAACCCCAAGAAAGUCUCGAGUUAACCUGUCUGUGGCUCCGAAGCCGCUGAACCCGGUUUCUUGCUGGUUUCCACCACUCAGUAUGCCACUGGUUUCGUUAGUGAGAGAAUUCACGAGAUCUUGGAAAUGGCUCUCGCUCUCUACGCCAUCGAAGACAGUCCGAGAACCUGCAUUCUUUGCAGCGCUAGAAUAUAAGCUGCCGACUCCUCUGAGCGAGGAGCUCGCACUGAUGCAACUGGAUGUUGCACCCAUUUGCGUAGCCUUCUGAAGAAGUGCAGUUGCCGACAUAUGUGGUGGCAUUGAUUCAUUGCUCACCGAGUUGUUGCACAUAGGAGACAUGUUUGCAUCAAGAAGAUUGUUGCCCACGAUAUUUCCUGCAAAGAUUGCGUUUGGCCCGUUGCUUCCACCAGCAGUGUUAAAUGGAUCAGAGACGAGUAGAUGAGCAUUCUGGUUCAUUGCUACGUUGCUGCUGUUGGUGACGGCGCUCCUGUUGCUGCUGUCAGAGAAGAUGCCAAGAUUGGAAAGAUUAGUAGCAGCUGCGGCAGCCGAGGGGGAUGAAGAUUCGGUGUUGGUUUGGAGGUGUUGCAGUUGCAUGAAGCCAUGGAAUGGUUUGCUUUGUAGCAAUUGAGUGUUCUCAUUGAUGUCUUGGCUUGAGCCGCCACCAAGAUAGAACGGGGCAGACUGAGGUGGCGGUGGUGGUCGGAAGGACGGCACCGUGAGGUGAUUGAACUGCAUAGCAUUGCCAUUUCCGCCAAGCCGGAGAAGAUCUGCUGAUGGAUGUGUUUGAUCUUGCAAGGUGGAGAGCUGCGAAUUCAAGUGAGGAAGGCCCAAAUUUAUUCCGGUGUUGCCAUAGAAGUGGCUGCCGAUGGUGUUCAUGCUGGCUGGAACCCUCGCGCUCUCUUGUGCUAAUGCGUCGCAGAAGGCUCUGUGUGUAAUGAAGCUAUCACGCCUGCGUCAAUGACCACAAGAUGAAGCUAUUAGUUGCACUCUUGGAAGAAAGAAGAUGCUAAGCAUGCAUCUCUGUUUCAUACAUCGUGUUGCAAGGCAUCAGAUUAGAACCAUAUAAUAUAUUCGAGAGGGAACUCCUUCCAUGAUUUGAAGCCCUUUCCAUUGCUCCGAAGCCAAGAUUUGUUGCGAUUACCUCAAUCAAUGCACAACUCCUUUACAUUUACUCAUCCUAACAAGAGUAAGUGUCGGUGCACUUCACACCUCGAGUGGUGUCGCACCUCCGGACAAGAAUAAUUCGCUCACAACCAAAGGCGACUCUCAUGAAAUGGUGGAGCUGUGUGCCAUGGCCAUGCCUUGUUGCCCAUGUAUCUCCAAUUCACAACACAACAAAGGAACUUGGUAAGCAUUGCCUCCAGGGCACCACGUGAAUCCAGUGAUGGUAACCCUAACCCUACCUAAGAUUCUUAGAUCGAGAAAUCCCAGUCACCGAAACCGAGAUCGGUGAUGAGUGCAGAGGGGAGUAGCACCACCAACAUGACCAAGAACCUACUGCGGGAUGGAUGCUGAUGUUUCAAUCAUGGAUUGGAGUUGGAUGUCCAAAAUGCAUCGAUCGAUGAGCAUUGGAUGCGAUGAUAGAUGCACGCAGUACCUGGAAAAGAGGGUUCCGCAGUCGCAGCGGUACUCGCGAGUACCGCACGUCUUGGAAUGGGCCUUCCAGUCCGACUGCACGGCGUACCGCUUCGAGCACUUGUCGCACUUCCACUUCUUCUCGCCAUGCUUGCGGCAGUAGUGCUUCUUGAUGCCGGUGAGGUCGCCGAGGGCGCGAGAGGGGUCGUGGUGGGCGCAGGUCGGCUCGGGGCAGACGUACACACGGCGGCGGACGUCCUUGGGGUUCUUCUGCUUCAGCUUCCACGGUAGGUUGUGGCCACGCCGGUGCAGCUGCAGGUUCUGUUCCCGCUGGAACCCCUUGUUGCACACUUCGCAGAUGAAUCUGUUCGUCGCAAGGAGCGUCUUUGGGGAUAAGGCGAUUACCUCAGCGUCAGGAUCUGCGGAUUCAAUCAGAGUCAAUGGAGUCCUUACAAUGAAAUUGUUUGACUCGACAACAUGUGGAAGAAACUGGUUAGGAUAGUUGAUAGUACACAGCAGUAGCAAACUCUGGGGGAAGAAUCCGAAAAGAUUAAGAUCUGUGAAUUAGGAUUUGUUUUUGCAUGCAAGUGUUCGUGAGUUUGGAUACUUGCUUGGGUUUCGAGGGAGGUUCCUCUUUUUCUUCGGAGGAGGAGCUGCUGGUUGAGCAGCAGCAGCAGCAGCUACCGCUGAGCCUGGCUGUGGCUGUUGCUGCUGGGUGACAUGCUUCUCUUCCUCUAUGGAUCCGAACAAAGGUACCGACGACGAAGCCAUUGUCAUUUCCUGAACCAAAGCAACAAAACAGCACUGCGCUUUCUCUCCCACUCGAUGGUCUUCUUGAUCCUCUUACCCUCACUAUCUGUUUCCGUAUGGGAUCACUGAUGCGUCCAAAUUAGAGCCACAGAGAAGCCGUGGCUACCUUUCGAUCCAACUCUUCCUCUUCCAGAUCCAAAACACAGGAAAAGAACCAAAGAAAGGGAGGGAGGAAGAGAGCAAGAACACAAGUCGUAGCACACGAGUGUGGAUCUAUGCACCAACAAGGCAACCCUAAACAAAAGCCUCCAAACUCUUCCUCCUGGCUCUUGCUAUCUCUGCUAAAGAACAAGGAGAGCUGCAAACCCAAACAACCAGUUGCGCUCAAAGCCAAAUGGAACGAAAGAGAAACAGCGCGAGAAGAAAACAAAAGAGCAAAAGUAGUAGAUAACCUCUUCCUCCCCUUCUUCUUGUGCUACUCCAUGGAAGGGAGAUCCACAUAACAAAGGGCUGUCAUGUGACCCUUCUCUUCCUCUCUUCUUCCCUUAUGGACGAUUCUCCUUUUUCUCUUCCACCUUUCCCCUUGUGCAUCUAUUAUUCCUCACCCUCUUCCCACCCCACCGCAAAUAAAGAGAGAGAGAGAGAGAGAGAGAGAGAGACAGAGAGAGAGACUGUUGACGGAGUUCACGUAGACAAGAGUGUCGCUGUGUGGGAAGAGGUCCACAGGACACUUCCUAUCGUUUGGCGUCUGCUCUUCACUGGGCGUGAGGACAAAAGGCAGCCUCUCAUUCCAACCCUGUAAAAGCCAUAUUGGUGAAAACAGCAUUGACUAACACACUCCCUAUCUUACCACAAGUCAAAAUGAGCUUUGAAUUCAACGGAGUCCGGUAAGCAUGUGGCACUUCCACUUCCUCUUCGUCUCAUAAUUUAGGAUUGUUACGAUGGUAAAACAAUUAAAAUUAGACGAAUUCACUGCAUUUAAUGGCAUCACAAAAUUGGUGGUAGAUUAAAUGACACCCAAAACGAUCACAAAAUAAGCCUAAACCGUAGCCUGCAUCCAUCAAUCCUUUCCACCAUCACUUUUUUCAACCGAUAUAUGUCUUUAACCCGAUAAUAAAAAAUAGAUCUUAACAUUAUUUGACAUCUAAAGAGACAAUCAAUACUAAAUUCAAAGCAUUCAAGAAGCGAAUGAAGAAUAAGAUUCAGACUCUCUUUACCAUACUCAGUCUGGGCCCAUCACUAAGAAAUCACAUCACUAAAUUUGAAGCCUUCAAGAUGUAAAUGAAGAAUAAGAUUCAGACUCUCUUUAUCGAACUCAUUUUGGGCUGACCACCAAAUCCGAAUAAAUUACAUCAAUAAGAGAGUUCUGACCGAAGAGAUGACUUCCAAUAAAUGAGAGACUCUAUGACCAAUCCCUACUAUCCAUGUAUGAGGGUAGACUUCUCUAGAUGGGAAGGAGACUCGAGAUCGCAGAACGAUAUUUCGUAUAGUUUUCUAUAAUAAAUCUCGAGAGAGAGACUGAAGUAGGAUUUAUUCACCAUAUGUUUUGUCAUUCUCAUAUGUUUCCUUUUCGACUCUUUGAUUGUAAUAUGUUUUUGAUAAUAAUGAAUAACAACUUCAUUAUUUAUCCUUCCUAAAUAUGUUGUUUAUGCCGAUGUCAUCCGAAAAGAUAUACCAAAAUGAUUGAAUGAUCGACACACAAAACGUCUUAUUCUCUACUUUUUCUCUCUUAUCGGACAAUCUUACCAUCACAAGACGUUAACACGACAAACGCAUAUCCCCAUAAAGCAUUGGAUAAAUUGAUGCAAUGAGAACCUUCGUUGCCUUGAUUUCACAUCAAAGUCAAUGUUUCUUCGUUGUGGGUAAUGAGAGUUGAGCUAUGUAUUUUUAAGCACUCGAGGGAUUCUAUCUAUAUAUGAGAGAGAUCAACCCCUCUUACUAAUCUAUAGAUCGACCUUCUAAGGACUCCUUGUCUUACAUUGAAAACACACUCUCUCUCUCACUCUCCCAUACACAUCUUUUACCUUUGGUUUUAAUUAGUGUGUGUGUGUGUGUGUUCUUCAAACAAGUUCAUAAACAUGAAUCAUGCAGCAAAGGCAGCUAACUAAGGAUCCAAACAGUUAAUCUCAUCUCUUGUUUUUGAUGAUUGCAUCCUCAAGAUGAUGGAAUCAAUCAGCAGUCUUCCAACCCCACACUAAAGUGCCUUUUUCCUGCUCCUGAAAGGUGAGAUGGUGAGGCUCAAAAGACCAUACCUCUUUUCCACCUAAACGUGACAGCACAGUCAACAAAUCCCCAUCCAGUGUUUGUUCUCACUGCUGUCCUCACAGACUUGGCCUCCUCUGUGGAGUUCAUUCUCCUUGUAAGCUUUCGUUUCAGCCAUUGGAGGCACAUGAGAAGUGACCCCCAUCUCUGUCUGAGAGAGAAUCUUUGUCUGUCACAGGACUCACCGAUUAAGUGGCAAACCACAUGCGGGAGAGGUUGCUGCAGGAGCUGCUCAUACACAUCGAAUGAUCGAGGAAAACGCCACCAAAUAUACAACAAAGAUGGACUUUAAAUGGUCUUUCGUUUGUGGUCCUGUGAAGAAAUGAAAAAGAUUUUGCAUUUGUACCAAAAGAAGAACAAUUAAAUACCUUAGAAAUUACAUUUGAGAUAAUUUUAAACUCUUUAGCUUAGUCUUAUUAUAGAAAUUAUAACUGAGGUGGGAGAUGUUGGUGUUGAUAGAAUCGAGAAGGUAUCCGAUGUUUAAUCGAAUAUCAACUUAUAUAAAAAUCGAAGUUAGACGUAGUUCCUCCGAUGCUCAAGUCGAUAACAAAAUAGAGUAGAAGUUUAAGUAAAAACAGUAACUGAUUUUGAUUAAUAUGAUUUGAUGACUCUUUAUAAUUAGUUUAAUAGGAAAAAAAUAUUCAUUGUUACGAAUAAAAUAUCUUAUCAAAAUUUUAUAGUAGAUUGAUGUCUACGAAGAUUAAAUAUUUUGAAUCGCGGGCUCAAAUUCCUUGAAAAGAGAUAAUGGUGUUGUAUCGACGCAAACGAUAAAUUAUUUUUUUAUAAUCAACUACCGCCAUCUUAGUAAAAUAUUGUAAAGAUAUUUUUUUAUUAUUCAAAAAGAAACCUAAUCAAAUCAAAUCAUUUUAUAAGGAUUGAGAUGUAGUGAGGUAAACACGAUGACAAGAUCUCCAUGAAACAUGGCCUGUCCUUUAGUAUCUGUACCCUUGCCGUCUAUGUAGAUUCCACGCUCCUCCUGAGGUGGCAUUUGGGUUGGGCAUAUUGGCUGCAUUAAAUUGGAUUUCUUUCCAAGUAUCUAUUCCUUCUAAUCGAGUUUAAAACGAGUUCAUGUAGCAAAACCACUGUUCAACGAUAAAAAAUAUUUUUUUUUAUAAUUUAGAGAUAAAUAAUCUUUCGAUAUUUAGAGAUAAGUAUGCGUACAUAACUAUACCAAUAAAAUGUGUUUAAGUUAGAGGAGAAAUUUAUAGGAUUAAAUUUUGGGCUUUUAUCCAAACUUUAGUAAGUCCAAUAUUCUUGCCCUUAAUCUAAAUUUAUAGGCCCAAUUUGAUUCAAUUUUAAUGUUAUAAUUUUACGACAUGAGUCAUAUGUCAUUGACAUUUGACCAAGAUUCUGAUUUAUUUAAUAUAUGUUAAAUUAUUUAAAAUGAUAAAUAGGUUAACAAAACCAUAUUAAUAGAUUUUGAGUCGAUUCGAUUAAAUAUGUAAUCGAAUUAGAAGCACACUCUGUGUCUUAUCUCCAUAUUCUUCAAUCAAACUAUUAAGUUAAUCGAGUACAUCACACAUCCUUCAGUCUUAGUAAGCAAUCAUCCCACACUUGCUCAUUCCACAAGUCAAUGACCUAACAAAGUCGAGGAAGAUGAUGAUCCAAAUCUUCAACCUAAGAUAAGCUCAGAUGAGUUGAUUGAGUGUGAGAAAUAUUGCAUCCACGUUACAUUCUUGGACAUAAAAUAUGGGCAAGUGUGAGCAAUUUGACUAUGUGUUGAAUAAAAUAGAUUAAUUAAUCGAAUACAAUACAAUCAAUAGAUUACGUGUUCUUUAGAUCAACGUGGACUUCAUUAUUGAUAGCAAACAUAUGGGCUUCGCGAAGAAACCAUUUGCAUUGCAUCGACCGAAACGUCGAUAGCGAGGCAAUCCAAACACCGACAACGUAUAAGACACAGUCCAUCCCAUUUGGACGCAUCUGACGUACACACACACACACACACACACACACAGAGUGAGAGAGAGAGAGAGAGAGAGAGAGGAUAACAGCGCUUAGUUCACCACGCUGCAGACCUUCCUGACCUCCCCGGCGGAGCCAGUGAGGGGGCUGAUGUCGCCCAUCUUCACCAUGGCAGCCGCGAAGUCGGCGAAGAAAGCCGCCUGGUCCUUGCUGUACGCCGCCACCGUGGCGUCGGUAGACCCGCCGUUGAAGAGGAGCUGGUCCGAGUGCAGCAGGCCCUUCUUUCUCAGCAGGUUCUUGUAGUAGUUGUUGUCGAAGGAGCCGGGGGUGACCAGGUCAAGCGGGGCCAGGUUGGUGUCACCGUUGCCGGCGGUCGGAGGGCACCGGCGCUGCCGCAUCCUGGCGAAUCCCGCGUCGAUGUUCGUCUCGUUGUAUAUCCUCCCCCGGAAGGUGGCGCACUGAGCCAGCCCGAUGGUGUGCGAUCCUGAGAGGACGACCAUGUCUUUGAGGCUGAGUCCUUGCCGCGCGAACACGGAGGUGAGCGUGUCGAGGUCGUCGAAGGCUAUUGGCAGGUUUUGCUCUGCCAGAUCUUUGCUGGCGGUGGUGGAGUCUCUUCUUCCGAGCUUCACCUUCCAUGAAGGCCCACCCACCUGUAAUGCACGGUCAAAUUCAUCAUCGCAGAAGCUUUGGAUCUUACGAUAAUCUAUCCAAAUCUUUCUGUUCCGUAAUUUACUUACGUAUACGGAGGAGUCUCGUGCAACGAUGGCAAGGAUAUCAGCACAGGACACGACGCCCGGACACACCUUCUCCACGGCCGACUUUAUGCCGUCGAUCACUUCGUAUCCUCUCGCAGAUCUGAAGUUUUGACGUGCGUUCUUCUCGCUCACGAUGCCCGCCGCAUCGUUCAGCAAGAUGGACGCGUCACAACCCUGACAGAUUUACCAGCAUUCAAACUCAUCCAUCUGCGUGUGUACAUGUAUGUCGACACAGAGACAGAGAGAGAGAGAGGGAGCUGCUGAACCUGAACAAAGCAGUCAUGGAAAUGGAGGCGGAGGAGGGACGCGGCCAUGCGAUGCUCUCGAGCGAUCGCCGUACCGGUGGCUUUCUUGACGGUUGGCAGCACCUGUGGGCAGGUCUUGUCGUAGUAGUUAGGCGAGAGCUGCGCCUCACACAAGGCCAUGAGUGACACGACCAAAGCGGCCACCCAC
This 10469-nucleotide long non-coding RNA is filed under the name Musa acuminata (dwarf banana). Its description in RNAcentral is "long non-coding RNA (MACU_LNC001761)". Lineage: Eukaryota; Viridiplantae; Streptophyta; Magnoliopsida; Zingiberales; Musaceae. The record is from RNAcentral.